RNAcentral lists this ribosomal RNA (253 nucleotides) under uncultured bacterium. RNAcentral describes it as "partial 16S ribosomal RNA". It matches the Rfam family "Archaeal small subunit ribosomal RNA", at positions 474 to 727 of the family's 1478-position model. The record is from RNAcentral.
UACCAGCACCCCGAGUGGUCGGGACGUUUAUUGGGCCUAAAGCAUCCGUAGCCGGUUCUGCAAGUCUUCCGUUAAAUCCACCUGCUUAACAGAUGGGCCGCGGAAGAUACUAUAGAGCUAGGAGGCGGGAGAGGCAAGCGGUACUCGAUGGGUAGGGGUAAAAUCCGUUGAUCCAUUGAAGACCACCAGUGGCGAAGGCGGCCUGCUGGGCGGCGACUGACGCUGAGGCGCGACAGCGUGGGGAGCAAACAGG